RNAcentral lists this ribosomal RNA (446 nucleotides) under uncultured bacterium. Its description in RNAcentral is "partial 16S ribosomal RNA". It matches the Rfam family "Bacterial small subunit ribosomal RNA", at positions 338 to 795 of the family's 1533-position model. The record is from RNAcentral.
CCUACGGGUGGCUGCAGUCGAGAAUCAUUCACAAUGGGGGAAACCCUGAUGGUGCGACGCCGCGUGGGGGAAUGAAGGUCUUCGGAUUGUAAACCCCUGUCAUGUGGGAGCAAAUUAAAAAGAUAGUACCACAAGAGGAAGAGACGGCUAACUCGGUGCCAGCAGCCGCGGUAAUACAGAGGUCUCAAGCGUUGUUCGGAAUCACUGGGCGUAAAGCGUGCGUAGGCUGUUUCGUAAGUCGUGUGUGAAAUGCGCGGGCUCAACCCGCGAACGGCACAUGAAACUGGGAGACUAGAGUAAGGGAGGGGGAACCGGAAUGCUCGGUGUAGCAGUGAAAUGCGUAGAUAUCGAGAGGAACACUCGUGGCGAAGGCGGGUUCCUGGACAUUAACUGACGCUGAGGCACGAAGGCCAGGGGAGCGAAAGGGAUUAGAUACCCGAGUAGUC